RNAcentral lists this ribosomal RNA (524 nucleotides) under uncultured bacterium. RNAcentral describes it as "partial 16S ribosomal RNA". It matches the Rfam family "Bacterial small subunit ribosomal RNA", at positions 28 to 523 of the family's 1533-position model. The record is from RNAcentral.
GACGAACGCUGGCGGCGUGCUUAACACAUGCAAGUCGAACGAGACGAUUGAAAGCUUGCUUUUAAAAGUCGAGUGGCAAACGGGUGAGUAACGCGUAGACAACCUGCCUUUGAGAUGGGGACAACAGUUCGAAAGGACUGCUAAUACCGAAUGUUGUAUAUUUUCCACAUGGAAGAUAUAUUAAAGAUGGCCUCUAUUUAUAAGCUAUCGCUCAAAGAUGGGUCUGCGUCUGAUUAGCUGGUUGGUGGGGUAACGGCCUACCAAGGCGACGAUCAGUAGCCGGGCUGAGAGGAUGAACGGCCACAUUGGGACUGAGACACGGCCGAGACGCCUACGGGAGGCAGCAGUGGGGAAUCUUCCACAAUGGACGAAAGUCUGAUGGAGCAACGCCGCGUGAGUGAAGAAGGGUUUCGGCUCGUAAAGCUCUGUUGUCGGGGACGAAUGUGCAGUAUUUGAAUAAAGUACUGCAAUGACGGUACCUGACGAGGAAGCCACGGCUAACUACGUGCCAGCCGCCGCAGUAA